Molecule: ribosomal RNA, 292 nt
Filed under: uncultured bacterium
Lineage: Bacteria
Description: partial 16S ribosomal RNA
Rfam family: Bacterial small subunit ribosomal RNA
Source: RNAcentral
GUGUCAGCAGCCGCGGUAACACGUAGGAGGCAAGCGUUAUCCGGAUUUACUGGGCGUAAAGCGCGUGCAGGCGGUUCGGUAAGUUGGAUGUGAAAGCUCCUGGCUCAACUGGGAGAGGUCGUUCAAUACUACCGGACUUGAGAGCAGUAGAGGGAGGUGGAAUUCCCGGUGUAGUGGUGAAAUGCGUAGAUAUCGGGAGGAACACCAGUGGCGAAAGCGGCCUCCUGGACUGUUUCUGACGCUCAGACGCGAAAGCUAGGGUAGCAAACGGGAUUAGAAACCCGUGUAGUCC